RNAcentral lists this ribosomal RNA (253 nucleotides) under uncultured bacterium. Its description in RNAcentral is "partial 16S ribosomal RNA". It matches the Rfam family "Bacterial small subunit ribosomal RNA", at positions 524 to 776 of the family's 1533-position model. The record is from RNAcentral.
GACGAGCCACACGAACGUUAUUCGGAAUUACUGGGCUUAAAGGGUGCGUAGGCUGCGCGGAAAGUUGGGUGUGAAAUCCCUCGGCUUAACCGGGGAACUGCGUCUGAUACUGGAUGGCUUGAGUUCGGGAGAGGGAUGCGGAAUUCCAGGUGUAGCGGUGAAAUGCGUAGAUAUCUGGAGGAACACCGGUGGCGAAGGCGGCAUCCUGGACCGACACUGACACUGAGGAGCGAAAGCCAGGGGAGCAAACGGG